CAACCCUUAAGCCUAGCUUAGUGUUGGGAAUCUACACCAAGGCCUCUGGCCCUACUGUAGUUCCUGAAAAUCAACGGCGGAUCUAUAAUAGUCCUCUGAGCGUAGUAAUUUUUUAUCUCGCUUUUGUUAGGUGUUAUAGCCCUUGCCGCUAAACCCCCCAAUUUUUAAU
Molecule: unclassified non-coding RNA, 169 nt
Filed under: uncultured Xylariales
Lineage: Eukaryota; Fungi; Ascomycota; Sordariomycetes; Xylariales
Description: sequence contains ITS2
Source: RNAcentral